RNAcentral lists this signal recognition particle RNA (94 nucleotides) under Coriobacteriales bacterium. RNAcentral describes it as "signal recognition particle sRNA small type". It matches the Rfam family "Bacterial small signal recognition particle RNA". From Rfam's summary of the family: The signal recognition particle (SRP) is a universally conserved ribonucleoprotein involved in the co-translational targeting of proteins to membranes. Archaeal SRP consists of a 7S RNA and homologues of the eukaryotic SRP19 and SRP54 proteins. The record is from RNAcentral. Lineage: Bacteria; Bacillati; Actinomycetota; Coriobacteriia; Coriobacteriales.
GAUGAGGCUUGGGCGGCGUCAUGCUCUGAACCUGGUCAGGUCCUGGCGGAAGCAGCCAUAAGGGGCCGCUGACGAGCGCUCAAGCCUCCUGCUU